AGCUCCAAUAGCGUAUAUUAAAAUUGUUGCGGUUAAAACGCUCGUAGUUGGAUAUUUGUCAAGGACUGCCGGUCUACCCUAGCGGUCAGCACUCGGUAUGUCCUCGGCAUUUUCCUGGAGACAGUGUUCGCUCUUAAUUGAGUGGCACAUGAACCAGAACUUUUACUUUGAGGAAAUGAGAGUGUUUCAAGCAGGCGUACGUCGUGAAUACGUUAGCAUGGAAUAAUAGCAUAGGACCCCGGUCUGAAGCUGUUGGUUUUUGGGCCGAGGUAAUGAAAAUAGGGAUAGUUGGGGGCAUUCGUAUUUAACUGUCAGAGGUGAAAUUCUUAGAUUUUUUAAAGACGAACUACUGCGAAAGCAUCUGCCCAGGAUGUUUUUA
This 379-nucleotide ribosomal RNA is filed under the name uncultured eukaryote. RNAcentral describes it as "SSU rRNA". It matches the Rfam family "Eukaryotic small subunit ribosomal RNA", at positions 587 to 972 of the family's 1831-position model. The record is from RNAcentral.